AUCCAUACUAAUCUCCUUAUCAAUCAAUUACUUGGCCACACUCUUGGUUCCCUUUCCUGAAAAUAUUCUUUCAUUCUCUACCACAUGGCCAGGCUGAGAAUUCUUCACAUUCCUGUUUUGUUUUGUUUUGAGACGGAGUCUCGCUCUGUCACCAGGCUGGAGUGCAGUGGCGCAAUCUUGGCUCACCGCAAUCUCCACCUCCCUGUUUCAAGCGAUUCUCCGGCCUCAGUCUCCCGAGUAGCUGGGACUACAGGCACAUGCCACCACGCCCAGCUAAUUUUUGUAUUUCUUUUUUUAAUAGAGACGGGGUUUCAUUAUAUUAUUCAGGCUGGUCUAGAACUCCUGACCUCAGGUGAUCCAUCUGCCUUGACCUCCCAAAGUGCUGGGAUUACAGGUGUGAGCCACCACACCCGGCCUGGCUUCUUUCACUUAACAUAAUGUCUUCAAGGUCAUCCGUGUUGUAGCAUAUGAAGGUAGCUGUCAAUUAUGAGCAGCCUAUGGAGAGGCCUACACUAUGAGAAACGGAGGUCUUUGGAAGUCCUGAGUGGAGAAAAACUGAUGCUUCCUGCCAAUUACUAGGUCUGUGAGUCUUCUUAGAAGCAGAUUCUCUAGCUCCAGGCAAGCCUUUUGGCAACUUUAGUCCCUGCUGACAUCCUGAGUGCAACCUUAACUACAAAGCCGAACUGCUCCCAAAUUCCUGACUUUUGAGAUAGAAUCUCGCUCUGUUGCCCAGGCUGGAGUGCAGUGGGGCAAUCUCGGCUCCCUGCAACCUCAGCCUCCCAAGUAGCUGGGAUUACAGGCAUGCACCACCACGCCAGGUAAUUUUUAUAUUUUUAGUAAAGAUGAGUUUUCACUGUGUUGGCCAAGAUGGUCUCAAACUCUUAACCUCAAGUGAUUCACUCACCUCAGCCUCCCAAAGUGCUGGGAUUAUAGGUGUGAGCCACUGUGUCCAACCAACAUUUGUUGUUUUAAGCUUCUAAGUUUUGGAAUAACUUGUUAUGCAGGAAUAAAUAACUAAUAGGAGCGGGCCCACCCUUCUAGGAGAAUUGGGCAAGAGAAAGAUGAGCAGCUGUCUCACAUCUAUUGAUUUGCUAUAGUAACUAAUAUUGAAAAGACUAGGUCUUCCCCAGGACUCUGAGACAUGUAAUUGUUUGACGUGGAAUUGAUACUGGCUUAGGUACAGGAUGACAGCCACCUUGUGGCUGUAUAGAGUGUUCUUCAAAAAAGAGCUCACUCUCCCCAGGCCAAAAUAGGUUUAAGACUGGUCUAAUCACAAAAAUGGACUAUUUUGAGCUUGUUACAUAAGGGAGAAUGGAUAACGUCUAGAUGUAUUUUCAUGGUUCCUGUGAUAUAUAUGCUACUUUUAAAAAUUAUUCAUUCUUUACAGAAAGUCCUUCUACUAGCUUCAAGCUUACUCAAACUUCUUUUUUUGUAUUCCAGCAUCCAGAGAAGACCUAUGUGUUUUCUAGAUUGAAUUAAAUAAAGUCUAUUUUGAAAGAUUCAUUAGAUGGCUUACGUUGUGGCAAGAAUACAUGACAAGACUCAGAAAGGUCCUUAAGCUUACCCUGGCCAAAUAUGGGCUGAACUUGAAGGCCAGCUCUGGAGUGACUUCUGGUCAAACCACUUACCAGGCUAUGUUCUCACAUGGUUAUAUCUGGCCAUCCUAACAUAGUAUGGGACCAACUGGAAUUUCAGAUUGGUUGAGUGAUUAUUUAAUGGCAGAUACAGCUUCAUUGAAGCCUUUAUUCUAAUGAGGAAUGUUUAGGGUUGGCAGCCCUGUAGUAGCUCAGUUGGUAUUUAUAAAUGGCGGGGAUUAUAUUUUAGUGUUAAAAUCUCAGUGUGUUCAUAUGCACUGGUGUUUUGUGGGUGUUCUCAGCUUUCGUCUCACACAAUUCAGUGAAACAAAUACCAUAUUAACAUAUUAGCACUGAAGCCUGCUUGCCAUUCUCCAACGCUCAUGUUAGAGUGUUAUCUGGAAUUCAGAAAUUAGCAUUUUCAUGUCCUAUGUCCAGAAAGUGUGUCAUACCCAGUAUAUACAACUUGAAGACC
RNAcentral lists this long non-coding RNA (2049 nucleotides) under Homo sapiens (human). RNAcentral's name for it is "HSALNT0115332". The record is from RNAcentral. Lineage: Eukaryota; Metazoa; Chordata; Mammalia; Primates; Hominidae.